RNAcentral lists this ribosomal RNA (440 nucleotides) under uncultured bacterium. RNAcentral describes it as "bacterial SSU rRNA". It matches the Rfam family "Bacterial small subunit ribosomal RNA", at positions 338 to 773 of the family's 1533-position model. The record is from RNAcentral.
CCUACGGGUGGCUGCAGUCGAGAAUCUUCGGCAAUGGGCGCAAGCCUGACCGAGCGACGCCGCGUGCGGGAUGAAGGUCUUCGGAUUGUAAACCGCUGUCGGAGGGGAUGAAAUGCCGGUGGGUUCUCCCAUCGGUUUGACAGAGCCUCGGAGGAAGCACGGGCUAAGUUCGUGCCAGCAGCCGCGGUAAUACGAACUGUGCGAACGUUAUUCGGAAUCACUGGGCUUAAAGGGUGCGUAGGCGGCGGCUCAAGUCAGGUGUGAAAUCCCCCGGCUCAACCGGGGAACCGCGCUUGAAACUGGGUCGCUCGAGUGAGGCAGGGGUGCAUGGAACUUCCGGUGGAGCGGUGAAAUGUGUAGAUAUCGGAAGGAACGCCGGCGGCGAAAGCGGUGCACUGGGCCUUGUCUGACGCUGAGGCACGAAAGCCAGGGGAGUGAAC